GUGAGGAAUAUUGGUCAAUGGGCGAGAGCCUGAACCAGCCAAGUCGCGUGAAGGAAGAAGGAUCUAUGGUUCGUAAACUUCUUUUGCAGGGGAAUAAAGUGCAGGACGUGUUCUGUUUUGUAUGUACCCUGAGAAUAAGGAUCGGCUAACUCCGUGCCAGCAGCCGCGGUAAUACGGAGGAUCCGAGCGUUAUCCGGAUUUAUUGGGUUUAAAGGGUGCGUAGGUGGUUUGAUAAGUCAGCGGUGAAAGUUUGCAGCUUAACUGUAAAAAUGCCGUUGAAACUGUCGGACUUGAGUGUAAAUGAGGUAGGCGGAAUGCGUGGUGUAGCGGUGAAAUGCAUAGAUAUCACGCAGAACUCCGAUUGCGAAGGCAGCUUACUAAGCUACAACUGACACUGAAGCACGAAAGCGUGGGGAUCAAACAGGAUUAGAAACCCGUGUAGUCC
RNAcentral lists this ribosomal RNA (445 nucleotides) under uncultured bacterium. RNAcentral's name for it is "partial 16S ribosomal RNA". It matches the Rfam family "Bacterial small subunit ribosomal RNA", at positions 354 to 796 of the family's 1533-position model. The record is from RNAcentral.